AGUGAACGCUAGCGGCAGGCUUAAUACAUGCAAGUUGAGGGCAGCAUGAUAGUACGCGAGUAUAUUGAUGGCGACCGGCGGACGGGUGAGUAAUAGGUAGGAGACCUACCUCAUACGAGGGGGAUAGCAUAGAGAAAUCUGUGGUAAUACCCCAUGAGGUUAUAUGAAUAGAGGCAUAUAAUCAAAGCAUAAGCGAUUAUGCGGUAUGAGAGGGGCCUACUGACCAUUAGCUAGUUGGUGAGGUAAGGGCUCACCAAGGCGAAGAUGGUUAGGGGUUUUGAGAGAGAGACCCCCCACAUUGGAACUGAGAGACGGUCCAGACUCCUACGGGAGGCAGCAGUAGGGAAUAUUGGGCAAUGGGCGAAAGCCUGACCCAGCCAUGCCGCGUGAAGGAAGACGGCCUUAUGGGUUGUAAACUUCUUUACUACGCGAAUAGAGGUUAGUACGAGAUACUAAUAGGAAGGUAGUGUAGUAAAAAAGCACCGGCUAACUCCGUG
This 497-nucleotide ribosomal RNA is filed under the name uncultured bacterium. Its description in RNAcentral is "bacterial SSU rRNA". It matches the Rfam family "Bacterial small subunit ribosomal RNA", at positions 29 to 507 of the family's 1533-position model. The record is from RNAcentral.